Molecule: ribosomal RNA, 394 nt
Filed under: uncultured bacterium
Lineage: Bacteria
Description: partial 16S ribosomal RNA
Rfam family: Bacterial small subunit ribosomal RNA
Source: RNAcentral
CCUACGGGUGGCAGCAGUGAGGAAUAUUGGUCAAUGGCCGUGAGGCUGAACCAGCCAAGUCGCGUGAAGGAUGACGGAUCUAUGGAUUGUAAACUUCUUUUAUAGGGGAAUAAAGGUAUGCACGUGUGGCUAUUUGUAUGUACCCUAUGAAUAAGCAUCGGCUAACUCCGUGCCAGCAGCCGCGGUAAUACGGAGGAUGCGAGCGUUAUCCGGAUUUAUUGGGUUUAAAGGGUGCGUAGGUUGGUUUUUAAGUCAGCGGGGAAAGUUUGUGGCUCAACCAGAAAAUUGCCGUUGAAACUGGAAGCCUUGAGUGUGUUUGAGGUAGGCGGAAUGCGUGGUGUAGCGGUGAAAUGCAUAGAUAUCACGCAGAACUCCGAUUGCGAAGGCAGCAUAC